AUUGGAAACGAUGGCUAAUACCGCAUGAUGCCUACGGGCCAAAGAGGGGGACCUUCGGGCCUCUCGCGUCAGGAUAUGCCUAGGUGGGAUUAGCUAGUUGGUGAGGUAAGGGCUCACCAAGGCGACGAUCCCUAGCUGGUCUGAGAGGAUGAUCAGCCACACUGGAACUGAGACACGGUCCAGACUCCUACGGGAGGCAGCAGUGGGGAAUAUUGCACAAUGGGCGCA
This 228-nucleotide ribosomal RNA is filed under the name Vibrio parahaemolyticus. RNAcentral describes it as "partial 16S ribosomal RNA". It matches the Rfam family "Bacterial small subunit ribosomal RNA", at positions 149 to 379 of the family's 1533-position model. The record is from RNAcentral. Lineage: Bacteria; Pseudomonadati; Pseudomonadota; Gammaproteobacteria; Vibrionales; Vibrionaceae.